RNAcentral lists this ribosomal RNA (497 nucleotides) under uncultured bacterium. RNAcentral's name for it is "partial 16S ribosomal RNA". It matches the Rfam family "Bacterial small subunit ribosomal RNA", at positions 28 to 507 of the family's 1533-position model. The record is from RNAcentral.
GAUGAACGCUGGCGGCGUGCCUAAUACAUGCAAGUCGAGCGGACGGACGAGACGCUUGCUUCUCUGUUGUUAGCGGAGGACGGGUGAGUAACACGUGGAUAACCUACCUAUAAUACUGGGAUAACUUCGGGAAACCGGCGCUAAUACCGUAUAAUAUUUUGCACCGCGUGGGUCAAUAGUGAAAUACGGUCUUGCUGUCACUUAUAGAUGGAUCCGCGCUGCAUUAGCUAGUUGGUAAGGUAACGGCUUACCAAGGCGACGAUGCAUAGCCGACCUGAGAGGGUGAUCGGCCACACUGGAACUGAGACGCGGUCCAGACUCCUACGGGAGGCAGCAGUAGGGAAUCUUCCGCAAUGGGCGAAAGCCUGACGGAGCAACGCCGCGUGAGUGAUGAAGGUCUUCGGAUCGUAAAACUCUGUUAUUAGGGAAGAACAUAUGUGUAAGUAACUGUGCACAUCUUGACGGUACCUAAUCAGAAAGCCACGGCUAACUACGUG